GCUGGGCGUGGUGGCGCGUGCCUGUAAUCCCAGUUACUUGGGAGGCUGAGGCAGAAGAAUUGCUUGAACCCAGGAGGCUGAGGUUUCAGUGAGCUGAGAUUGUGCCACUGCACUCCAGUCUGGGUGAUAGAGCAAGACUCUGUCUCAA
This 148-nucleotide signal recognition particle RNA is filed under the name Homo sapiens (human). Its description in RNAcentral is "Metazoan signal recognition particle RNA". It matches the Rfam family "Metazoan signal recognition particle RNA". Rfam says of the family: The signal recognition particle (SRP) is a universally conserved ribonucleoprotein. It is involved in the co-translational targeting of proteins to membranes. The record is from Rfam by way of RNAcentral. Lineage: Eukaryota; Metazoa; Chordata; Mammalia; Primates; Hominidae.